Molecule: long non-coding RNA, 5678 nt
Organism: Parus major (Great Tit)
Lineage: Eukaryota; Metazoa; Chordata; Aves; Passeriformes; Paridae
Exons: 2
Source: RefSeq, a predicted model, not a curated record
GGGGGAGCGGGGCGGAAAGGUCGCUGUCGUGGUGAUGGGGGCAGGCUCAGACCGCCUGCGCCACCCAGGCCCCGCCGCCCGUGUAAACAAAACCGAGGGUUUUGUUUACGGAGCACUCGCGGCGCUGGAGGCGGCGAGACCGCGAGUAUUCCUACGCUCUCCGAACAACAACCCGUGUUUCUUCCAGGCCUGCACCUCCAGCGCUCAACAAACCACAAAAUGUGGUAAAAAUGCAGAAAACAACAUCCCCUCUCGCUCAAAAAGAAAAAAAAAAGACGAAAAAGCGGAGGUGGCGAGGCAGCGAGUGCUUCUACGCUGACCGAACAACAGGCUGUGCUCCGUCCAGCACUAAACAAAGCCAAAAUGUGGUGAAAACGCAUUGAAAACACACGACAUUGUCCAAAAGAACAAUAAAAACGGGCAAAAAAGCAGAGGAGGCUUAUGAAGCAGUGAGACGGCAAGUGCUCCUACUCCGACAGAACAACAGGCUGUGCUCGGUUCAGUCCUGCGGCUCAAGCAUUCGACAAAGCCAAAAUGUGGUAAAAAUACGUAUCAUAUUUGAUCCAAGCAUCCCAGCCUGUCCAUAUAUGAAAAUAUAUCUACUUUUUGCAAGAGUGAAGGAAAAUUCCAGGCUGGCAGCUGUGUUCCUGACAUGAAGCCAAGCAUUUACCUGCUGCAGCCAAGCUGCUGAUGAAGAACACAUGCACUGUCACAUCACAAAACAUAACUGGAAGGGAAGGCAUACUAAAUUCUGCAUGUGGACAAAACACUUCUUUCUGCUUCUCAAACAUUGAAAAGCUGAUGAUCCACUUCUUAAAGGUGUUGUGAGUAUGCUCAGGCAUUUGAGGGAUUAUUCCAUUAGUAUAUGUAAUCUCCUUCCUAUUUUUUCAGUGGUAGAAUGCUUCUUAUUGAAGGAGAAAGAGAUUUGGGAUUAACCUCUGAAUGUUACCUAACUAAAUCAAUAAAGGUUUUGUUUGCACAGACCUCAGUAAGGCAGGGAUUCCACCCUUGACCAUGGAAAAAGUUUCUCAUUAUAUAUUCAUUGAUGGUGUAGUUUGAAACUUCAACCUGCCUAUAAAGGAGCAGCCUGCUAACAAACAGUGCUCUGGGCAAAUUAAGUUGAACACUUGCAUUCUGGGAGGUUUUGCAAAAUGUUUAUCUUUAGAAACAGCUUUAAAAAAAUACUCAAGGCUAUCAACCAUGCUGGGCUCAGCAAGAAGAAGAGGGACACAUACAUGCAAACUGACUCCAGUUCUCUAAACAGAAGUAGAAAAAAACACAUUGAACCUUUGAUCUCCACAGCAGUGCAACGAGUUUCCUUUCUGUGUUGUAUGUGAAAUUAUAAAUAAGACUCGUUAUUGACUGAGGGAAGUUGAUGCAAUUCUCAGAGAAACGGGUCUUGAGAUAAGAGUUUUGGCUACUGUAUCUUCUGCUGGGCUGCUUACCUUGCCAUUUUUGCAGCAUGGCUGUUAAAUUACUCCAGCAGAAAGCCCUCGGUACAGUCGAGUUUCUGAAGACUUAUGGAAAACACAGAAUAUAGGAUUUCCGAGUAUUGGAAAGACAGACCCAUUUCUUUGUCGCAAAGUUAUAUGCUUGAAAGAGUCGUGAAUGUUUAAACAGAAAGUGUCUUAUUUCCUAGAGAAAGAUAGAAAACUUUAAACAGAUUAUUCUGAAUACAAAGAAAAGCCACAUUCAUCCCCUGGGUACUCACUGACUCACAAGCAGUUUCUCAAAAGUCUUCUGGCUUUUAAACCUGUAUUCUUGGUCUUCAGAAAGAGGUUACAGAGUAGAGUGACUUCUGCAGGGAUCUCCAAAGGAUAGGAGGGACAGAACCUACCUUUUCCUGGUUCCUGUGUGACAACCUGCCCUGCAUAAGGGGAGAAACUUGGCCUCAACCCCCACUUCUGGCACACUGACAAUGUUACAUCCCUAAACAUGAAGGCACACUGGUACCUGAGGAAAAAGAAACAAAUGAAACACGUGGCAAAUGCAAAACAGAGCCCAAAGCUUUGAAGUGCUAACACAAACAAGUAUACAUGUAUAUAUGUGCAUUUGUAUGUGUAUAUAAUGCACAUAAAUAUAUGUAUAGAUAGAUAAAGAAUGAAGAAAACAAUAACUUUCCAGUCUUAUUUUUGCAACAGGUGCAUGAUUUUUAUGCCCAUGGCUGUGCACAGCUCUCUGCAGUAAGAUGAAACUAACAUUUCAAAUGUAUUUAUUUGAAAAACAGGCUGGAGAUGAUGCUGGUCUGAACAGGCAUCAGAGCCAUGGGACACAGACAGGCAGGGAUCAGCAGUGAGGCUGCUGAUGGGCCAGUGGCAAGCAAGGCCCUGCAUCAAGGCACAAUAUUGCAACCACCUCCUGUUUUCUAAAUUGUGAAAAAAAUUCACUGCAGUGUGGGGAAUAUUUAAGGAAAAUAACUCAGGUAAAUUUGGACACAAAAUUUGUAACAAAUAUUUAUAAUACUGGGAUAUGUAGUAUCCAAAGUAUCCAAAGAUAUGAUUUUAUUUAAAAUGGCAUUCACAUUUUGUCUCUUGUAUUUGCUGCUACUACUAUCCUCCUACCUCUCCUCUUAUUCUAGAAAAAAAAAAUUAAUUACUCCAAACAUGCAGGCCUAAACCAGAAGUGAUAAAUGAAGUUAUCAGCUCAAUGCAUCUAGUGAACUAUGAGCUCACAUACUUUGACUUUAGGAGCUGGUAUCACUUAAUAUCUACUCUCAAUAAAAUUGACUUCUUCUUUGAUUAAACCUGUUCAACUGGUCCUGCUUAUAAUUCUUUAAAACACGGUAAUUUAAAUAUUAAUUAACUCUUUGAAUUUAAACAUCUAUCUUUCUAAUAACAUGUUAAGAUAUAUAUAUACAUGUGCUUGAUGUAUCCACUGUGGUUUAUGAAGAUGGAGGAUUUAAACUGAUUUAGACCUGGUGUUUACUUUUUAGAAGAGAUUUCUAAAAACCAAACUAGAAUAUACGAAUCAAGUUCAGCAUUUCCAGAAGUAUUAGUAAUAAAUGUUAGAGAAGAGCUUCAACAUAUGUGUGAUCUUAGGCAUUGUUCACUGCUUAACAUUUAAAAUCCUUGUUUCAAAAAAUAUCCACAUAGAUUUAGUUUUGUUAGAAGCAAUUUGAGUAAAUGAAUCAAGAUGCUUCAGGGCAGAAUUUGUAUGUACAAGCCUACACCUCCCUCAUCUCCACAAAUCUCUGUUACCUUUCUUCCCCACAUUUUACAGUCUACCUGUGUAUAUUCUGGCUAUGGCUUUAUAUGUGGACCAUUUCUAGAACAGCAACAAAUUUGUGUCCAGGUUCUUGAUUAAGCACUGAGCAUGCAACAGCUGGGACAGAAUUGCUGAAAGACACUGUCAGUGUGAAAACUUUCUGUGAGCUGGUACCUGGAGACAGAUAAGCAGCAAACAGAGAUACUUCAGAGUCUUCUCUUUGUCUCUCUCCCCUGUUUCUCUCCACUGUUCCCAUUUACCAGGCAAACUCAGCCCAAAACAUGAGCUAUGGCAAGCAGAGCCUAAUGGCAGACUUCUCAUUUAAUUAAAGGAGAAAUGAUAGGAUCAUUCCUAACCUAAACUAUACUAAACACCAAAUUCGUAUUGAAUUCUGGCACUAGGCAGACUGACAGUUUUCAGACACUUCUAUGCUUAAUUUUAACUGCAGAACCAUCCCUGAUGUUAUUGCAAUAAUUGUCUGUUCCCACCAUGGAUACCUCUGUAGUUCUUGAGUUUCACAGUCACAGGCAUUCCCAAGGGUCAGUGUUCUGAUAAAAAAAAGUAACUUGGAUAUUUAAAAAAAAAAAGUAUUUCUGUUAGGACCAAUUCCCACACAAUGUUUGUUUAUUCAGCACACAAAAGGAAACUGUACUUUGUUCUCCAAGAAAGCUGGUGGUGCUGCAGACAUCAUUACACUGACUGAGAGUCCCAGUAGGGGAAUUCAGAUGGCUCACAGGAUAUUUUUCCCAAUCUGUGCAGAGCUGACCAGUCCACCAGUCCCAGAGAGCUUUGAUGAGGUUUCUGAGGCCAAAAUGAGACUGCUGUGCACACACCACAUCUGGCAUUGUCAUGAGCAGCAGGUGGCAGGAUGCUGGUUUAAGAUUCAGUGUAGUUAAAUACAGCGUUAAAUACAAAAAGCAAAAUCUUGGGUGCCUGAUACUGAACUGCAUGAAAUCGCUUCCCCCUGCCAGGUAGGAUGGUCAGGCUGCUGGGGCAAGACCUUAUUUUGCUAGCCAGAAGUGCACCUCAGUGAUAACCUGACCUGAGCCCACUCCCCUGCGCAAAAACAAAGACACUUCCUGCUCCUAAGUACUUUGCAUUUGUGCCAACAGGCAACAUGACUCACUGCCUUUACUUUUAAAUUGUGCUUUCCCUUCAAAAUGGCUCUGGCUGACCUGGUCUGGAUGGAUCCUUCCUUCUACAACAGCCAGGCAGGUGGUGGUGGUGCCCAAGUCCACCUGCUGGAACACCCACAGAUCUUAACUGUGCAUAACAUUGUGCUGCACUGCAGUUAUUUACCCCUUUUCUCACUUGUUUCAUGAAGAAAAAUCCACUGUUGUGUGUCUCAGAGGUUAUUCCUGUAAAGCACUGGUGUUACUUGUCUUACACAGCCCUGGUGAGGGCACAUGGCAGGAGGGCCUUGUGGUGCAAAGGCGAUGGGGCAGGCAGGGCUAAAAACCACAGCAAUCGAAAGAUACCCAGCUCACUUGGUUACUUCUCUGUUCCCUUCCUCUCUGCUAUAUAUAAUGACAUUUCUCAGAGCACAUUUCCCCCAGUUACAACCUCUACCAAUAUUGCACCAGCCUUUGGUGAAGCUGUGGUAGCUGCACAUUUCCUGGACUGGCUGAGCUCAGGCUCUGUGGAGGUGCAGCAGCCUCCCCACCUUCAUCUGCCACUUCAGCACUGAGACGUCGCGUGAGCUUUCACCUGAAGGAGGGAGAAAAAGAUAAAAUCCAGGUGGAAUUGUGGAGCAGCUCCUCAUGGCCAAAAAAGCUAGGUCUGCUUUUACAGGCUGCAGCAGGCAAGGCUAAACAGAAAUCAGGAGAUCAUCCCUGCAUCCUCAAGCCUUGCUUCAAAGCUGGAGUUUUACAGCAUUUUCAAGUUUGACAUUGAGUUGUUUGAGGUUUUUUUUCUGUGCAUAAAUCAGCAUCACUUGGCUUGAAAAUAUGUUUUUCUGAAAUAUUCAGACCACUAAUGCCAGUUUGUAGACAGCUAUUGAUCCAGCAUCUCUCGUAGUUCCCCCUUUCCCCUGCAGCCCUCACUUCAGAAAGGUCUGUUUCAUAAAUGCACAAAGUCUGGGGAGGCUUCUCUCAUUCCUUCAAAGGAAAACCUUGGGGAAAAGCCUUUCUGUAUAUCCUUUCUUGCCUACAUAUUUACAUUUCUGUGAAGGAACUGUGCAGGUCACCCAAAAUGCAAACUUUGCCAGUGAUGCUGCUGCUCUGCUGUUCAUUUGGAACCCAGUUUUGCUUUCAAGUUCAAAAUGAAAUGUUUUUUCUCUUCCUGCACACAGCAGCCAAACACUCCUUGAGCCUUCUGAGGUGUAGCACGUUUCCUUUGCUGGGAGAGGGGAAUUUCCUCUUUUCAAAGCAUCAAAUCCCUCCCUACACCGCAGUCUGUCCCUGGUUACUCUAUACACCCUCUAAGAAAACUGAAAAAAAAUGUGAAAUACAACUUGUUUGACCACUUAGUAUUUA